UGCGUAGGUGGGUAAGUAAGUCCGUGGUGAAAUCUCUGAGCUUAACUCAGAAACUGCCAUGGAUACUAUUUGUCUUGAAUAUUGUGGAGGUGAGCGGAAUAUGUCAUGUAGCGGUGAAAUGCUUAGAUAUGACAUAGAACACCAAUUGCGAAGGCAGCUCACUACACAGUAAUUGACGCUGAGGCACGAAAGCGUGGGGAUCAAACA
RNAcentral lists this ribosomal RNA (207 nucleotides) under uncultured bacterium. Its description in RNAcentral is "partial 16S ribosomal RNA". It matches the Rfam family "Bacterial small subunit ribosomal RNA", at positions 568 to 774 of the family's 1533-position model. The record is from RNAcentral.